GUUACAUCAUGAAGAACAGAGACUUCUGGGAAACUUCUAUCUCAUGCUCUACUGCCCCAUAACCCAAAACAACAUGCUCCCAGGGCCUGAGGCCGCCUUUGUGAAACCACGCUUUAGUCAUAAAUUCACCCGUAAACCCCUUCGUCACCCCAAAUGUCUCCCACAACUUGUAUCCAACCUCUGCCACUCCUUGAAAAAAGGUUGCGUUUGUUUAAAAUGACGUAAUGUUUUAAACUUCUCGUGUCCGACGGGAAUCGAACCCACCACGCAGGUGCUUUCAACACCUCUUACUGCUGCUCUUCACGUGUGUUUGGAUUCGUCGUCCAGUCUACGGCAUAAAGACGAUAGAUCUGUUGUCACCUUGGUAACAAACAGUUUCAUUUACUACCGUGCUUAAGUGCAGUUUUGAGGUUACUUGUACUUCUGCUGCACAUUUCAGAGGGAAACAUACUUUUUACUUCACUACAUUUAUUUAAAUGCUAUAGUUAGUUUGUCCCUUUACAUGCAAAACAUAUGAUUGACCUAUUAAAUAUGAUGCAUUGUUAUAGAUUAAAGGCCCCACAGACCCUCGCAGGUGUUUUCACUUAUGUUGCUGAUGCUAUGCUGGGAUUUACGUGAGGUCAUCGUGUCCCCCGAGGUACCGAAAAAAACAUUUUUUUUUUAAUCUUGUAGCACACGAUAAUAACUCGUGUGUGCAAAUUAUUAUCUCGUGUGCAUAAGUUUGAAAAAAUAUAUCGUUUUUCGGGACCUUGAAUGCACCCUAACUCUCUGAAUGAGUUCUUCUGAUACUUUAAGUGCUGCUGCUUCUACUGUUGCUGGUAAUACUUGUGACGUACAGGACCUUCGAGUGCAGUACUUUUCCUUGUAACAGAGUAUUUUUACACUGUGGUACUGUUACUUUUACUUAGGUAAAGGAUCUGAGUGCUUCUUCCGCCUCUGGAAACCAAAGUCCUUAACGACCUUCAGAAAGUCAGUCCUUCUGACGGUGCGACAGCCUCGGCCUCCGUCAGCGCUCCUCCCGCCAUCUUGUGUUUUUUUUCUCCCUCAAGCAGCCUGCAGGUAGAGAUGGGCGGAGCCAUUUAACCUGAUUUCUCGCACCUGAGCAAGCUGCGCCUCGGUUGUUCAGGCCGGCAUCACCACACACACAUUGAAAACGGCACCCACCAUUGACUUACAGACUACAGAUUCAUUUAUUAGGUGGCUUUUUUUGUCUUAGUUUCAAAUAAAAUAUUGUUAAAAUGACUUUAAAUCAUGUGUGUCCUCGCCCGCUGAUCCCGGGCUGUGACGAUGUUAAAACUGACCUCAACCCGGAGGAGGGUCAAGUGCUUCAUCUGUCACGUUCUGUCAGCUGAACGGCAAAACGUUUCAGACUCAAAGUGUGAAAGUCUGUUAAACAGGAUGUGUUUAUAUUUCUGCAUCUAUGAACUUGUUGACUGCCACCCGAUCCCUCUUCUGGAACAACGUGUACCAAAGAGUUUAGCAAAAUGUUUCUCUGUGUCGACACAGCUGAGGAAUGACUCUGCUCUGCCGUUCUCACGUAUAGAGAGUCAAGUUUACUCAAGACGCGUUUCACAAUCACAGUGUUCACAAGACAAACAGAAGAUAAAAAUGAAAAACAUGUGACUAUUUGUGCGUUUGUGUGUCAGAGGUUGUUUCCGUCUGUGAGUGAAGUAACAGGCGAUCAAAAAGAGAAAACGGGAAGGUUUGUUUCACUUUGUGCAAACAGAAAAUAGACUUGAUUUGCAGUUACACAAACACACUCUUCAUACAAUGUGAUAGCUUCGGGUCAUGUCGGGACUGGCCGGCUCGCCUGCUUUUCUUUUCUUUGUGCUUUAUCUUUAUUUCAGCAACCUUAAACAAUCUGUUCACCUUCACCACAAAAACACAUUUUUUCCAGACGUCAGGCACUCGCUCACGGAGGCGCGGGAGGCUGGAGCGUUUUGUUUUUAUUAGUUGCAUGUUCAUGAGACCGGUUUCGACCGCAGCAGGUCUUCAUCAGGGUUCAAAUGAGGAAACAAAACCAGAGUCGGACCUUUUUGUGCAUUCGUUCAGGCCACCUUUUAAAACUCAGCGAGACCUGAGUCUACAGCUAGCAGCUCUGUGGGGAUGUCGACCUGAUGGUGGCGCUAGAUGGAAAAAUCAGAGGAUCACUAAAGUCAGCAGGAUUCAUCCUCUCGAGACUGUGAGUGUCUGUACAAACUUUCAUGACAAUCCAUCCAGUAAUUGUUGAGAUAUUUCAGUCUGGACCAAAGUGGCGGAGCGACAUCUCUGUAACUGCUCGUAUUAAAUCACAUCACAUCACUUCCUGUG
This is a long non-coding RNA of Siniperca chuatsi (mandarin fish), 2310 nucleotides long. RefSeq lists it as uncharacterized. Lineage: Eukaryota; Metazoa; Chordata; Actinopteri; Centrarchiformes; Sinipercidae. The transcript is spliced from 2 exons. The record is from RefSeq and is a predicted model, not a curated record.